Salmo salar (Atlantic salmon) is the source of this 54-nucleotide non-coding RNA. The record is from Rfam. Lineage: Eukaryota; Metazoa; Chordata; Actinopteri; Salmoniformes; Salmonidae.
UGUAUUCACUACUGUAAGUCGCUCUGGAUAAGAGCGUCUGCUAAAUGACAAAAC